AAGGUUUCCGUAGGUGAACCUGCGGAAGGA
RNAcentral lists this non-coding RNA (30 nucleotides) under Drosophila yakuba. RNAcentral also lists the same sequence under 5 other names. Lineage: Eukaryota; Metazoa; Arthropoda; Insecta; Diptera; Drosophilidae. The record is from RNAcentral.